CCCCUUCUCCCGCUUGGAGGGCUGUCAUCGUGACUCUCCGAGAGUCAGGGCUUUCCCCCGAUGUAGGGGCAGGACCAUGCAUCAGUCACUGCCCACAAAAGUGCCCCAAUCACACCUGAUUUCCCCCAGCUGGACCUUUCACGAGUUGUUGCUAAUUAAGGGCUCACCUGAAUUAAUUAAGAGCCCACUUUGGUACCUCCCACCCCACACAGCUCUGUUGGCUCUGCAGGGCAGUGUGGCCCUUGCUCCCCCUCACAAGGGGAUGUGAUGGGAGUGGGCUAGGCUGGCUUCUGUGGGGUUAAGGGGUGCAGAAGCUUAGGGAUGAAUUUAGGGGGGUGCAAGGGCUAAGGACGUGUCCCCACAUUUGUUUGCUUGAAAGGACCUGGUCACCGAGACACCCAGCUGCCUGCCCGGGGAGCAGAGGCACCUGGGGACGCUCAUGUCACCACAGAGCAGCAGCCCUCGGCCAGCAGGCAGACUGAAGCCAGACAAGAAAGGGCAGAUGCGUCUCCCCCUCGACAAGUUGCUGCAGCACCCACACUUGUUGGAAGCUCAGUGUCCUCCACGGGAGAAGCGUUGCCAGCCCUUUCCUCCUCUGAUUCUCACACGGGGAACCCUGCACUGGGAAAUGGCAUCAUCUGCACAGACACACCAUGGCCAGCCAAGCAACAUCAGUGCCGUGUACCCAGGGGAGAAGAAGUCCUUGAUUCAGCAGACAUGACCAGGCCUGGCCAGAAAAUGGAUGUUGUUUCUGAACGGCAGAGAGGGGACAAGGACAAACAGCUGAGCUGUUGGGUAGCAGUAUUGGGUCAGGCACCGCUCAAAGUGCAGCCCACACUGGCAGAGCGUGCAGUCUGCUUGGGUUUUCUACAAAAAUGCCUUUUGACAGAGGUGUCCCUGCUCUGAGGGGCCCAAGUGGGGCUCACCGAGGGUAUUUGCCAUGCUUUAGACCCCAGGGCAGUGUCACCCCAUCCCAGCCGAGCAAGCAGAAGCUGGGGAGCUUCCCUGUUGCCAAGCCGGAUCGCUAGUGAGGAAAACAUGUCCAACCUGCUGGGUAUUCCCUCGCGCCUCCUUUCCAAGCAUUAAAAGUGCUAAUUAAACCAGAGCUGUGCUCCGGCAUCUGGAGGGAUAGGCCGCCUUUCCCAGCAGACAGACUGUAGGC
RNAcentral lists this long non-coding RNA (1162 nucleotides) under Manacus vitellinus (golden-collared manakin). Its description in RNAcentral is "lncRNA (ENSMVIG00005001161.1)". The record is from RNAcentral. Lineage: Eukaryota; Metazoa; Chordata; Aves; Passeriformes; Pipridae.